This 246-nucleotide unclassified non-coding RNA is filed under the name fungal sp. RNAcentral describes it as "partial internal transcribed spacer region". The stretch from base 1 to 46 matches the Rfam family "Eukaryotic small subunit ribosomal RNA", at positions 1786 to 1831 of the family's 1831-position model. The record is from RNAcentral. Lineage: Eukaryota; Fungi.
AAGUCGUAACAAGGUCUCCGUUGGUGAACCAGCGGAGGGAUCAUUACAGAGUUGCAAAACUCCCAACCAUUGUGAACCUACCUCACCGUUGCUUCGGCGGGUGGCCCGGGGCAACCCAGGCCGCGCCGGCUCCCCUUCAGGGGCCUGGCAAACCCGUCAGAGGACCGAAACUCUUCGUCAUCAGUGGCCUCUCUGAGUAACUUAUACAAUAAGUCAAAACUUUCAACAACGGAUCUCUUGGUUCUG